RNAcentral lists this transfer RNA (84 nucleotides) under Treponema pallidum subsp. pallidum (syphilis treponeme). Its description in RNAcentral is "tRNA-Ala". The stretch from base 1 to 73 matches the Rfam family "tRNA". Rfam says of the family: Transfer RNA (tRNA) molecules are approximately 80 nucleotides in length. Their secondary structure includes four short double-helical elements and three loops (D, anti-codon, and T loops). Further hydrogen bonds mediate the characteristic L-shaped molecular structure. tRNAs have two regions of fundamental functional importance: the anti-codon, which is responsible for specific mRNA codon recognition, and the 3' end, to which the tRNAs corresponding amino acid is attached (by aminoacyl-tRNA synthetases). tRNAs cope with the degeneracy of the genetic code in two manners: having more than one tRNA (with a specific anti-codon) for a particular amino acid; and 'wobble' base-pairing, i.e. permitting non-standard base-pairing at the 3rd anti-codon position. The record is from RNAcentral. Lineage: Bacteria; Pseudomonadati; Spirochaetota; Spirochaetia; Treponematales; Treponemataceae. RNAcentral also lists the same sequence under 1 other name.
GGGGUAUAGCUCAACUGGCUAGAGCGACGGCUUUGCAGGUCGUAGGUCAGGGGUUCGAGUCCCCUUAUCUCCAGGGAAAGCCCA